RNAcentral lists this ribosomal RNA (893 nucleotides) under methanogenic prokaryote enrichment culture B31_3_86. RNAcentral describes it as "bacterial SSU rRNA". It matches the Rfam family "Bacterial small subunit ribosomal RNA", at positions 8 to 916 of the family's 1533-position model. The record is from RNAcentral.
AGAGUUUGAUCAUGGCUCAGGACGAACGCUGGCGGCGUGCCUAACACAUGCAAGUCGAGCGGGGAGAAGAAUUCGUUUUUCUCUUUAGCGGCGGACGGGUGAGUAACACGUGGGUAACCUGCCUCAAAGAGGGGGAUAGCCUUCCGAAAGGAAGAUUAAUACCGCAUAAAAUCAUAGCACUGCAUGGUGCUGUGAUCAAAGGAGCAAUCCGCUUUGAGAUGGACCCGCGGCGCAUUAGCUAGUUGGUGAGGUAACGGCCCACCAAGGCGACGAUGCGUAGCCGACCUGAGAGGGUGAUCGGCCACAUUGGAACUGAGACACGGUCCAGACUCCUACGGGAGGCAGCAGUGGGGAAUAUUGCACAAUGGGGGAAACCCUGAUGCAGCAACGCCGCGUGAGUGAUGAAGGCCUUCGGGUCGUAAAGCUCUUUGAUCAGGGACGAUAAUGACGGUACCUGAAAAACAAGCCACGGCUAACUACGUGCCAGCAGCCGCGGUAAUACGUAGGUGGCGAGCGUUGUCCGGAUUUACUGGGCGUAAAGAAUGCGUAGGUGGAUAUUUAAGUGGGAUGUGAAAUCCCCGGGCUCAACCCGGGAACUGCAUACCAAACUGGAUAUCUGGAGUGCAGGAGAGGAAAGCGGAAUUCCUAGUGUAGCGGUGAAAUGCGUAGAUAUUAGGAGGAACACCAGUGGCGAAGGCGGCUUUCUGGACUGUAACUGACACUGAGGCAUGAAAGCGUGGGGAGCAAACAGGAUUAGAUACCCUGGUAGUCCACGCCGUAAACUAUGGGUACUAGGUGUAGGGGGUAUCGACUCCCCCUGUGCCGCCGUUAACACAAUAAGUACCCCGCCUGGGGAGUACGGUCGCAAGACUAAAACUCAAGGGAUUUGACGG